RNAcentral lists this long non-coding RNA (716 nucleotides) under Anas zonorhyncha (Eastern spot-billed duck). RNAcentral describes it as "lncRNA (ENSAZOG00000007471.1)". The record is from RNAcentral. Lineage: Eukaryota; Metazoa; Chordata; Aves; Anseriformes; Anatidae.
GCGUUGGUGCAAUUUCCCUGGCCCGUUGUCGAAAUCUUUUGAAAUCGGGGUUUUGGGGGGGGGUGACGCAACCCCGGGCGGGUGUCCCCCUGUUUUAUUUUUUUGGGGGUGGGGGGAGGAAAAAAAAGGGGACGUGGGCCCCCCCCCCGCGGUCUCGCUGAUGGGUUUUGGGUGCAGAGCUGGAGUGCGGGCAGCAGCGGGAGCUGGGCCGCGUGGUGGGGGGCACGGCCGCCCGGCCCGGCGAGUGGCCCUGGCAAGUGAGCCUCCAGCUGCGGGGGCAACAUUUCUGCGGGGGGACCCUCAUCGCCCCCCAGUGGGUGCUCUCGGCCGCCCACUGCUUCCAGGGCCCCAACGGGAGCCGCGCGGACCCCGGGGACUGGAGGGCGGUGCUGGGCCGGCUCCGUCUCCACGAGCCCGGUGGCCAGGAAGUCCCGGUGGCCGAGGUGGUGGUCCACGAGGACUACCGGCAGGUGGAAGGUGGCCACGACCUGGCGCUAGCCCGCUUGGAGACCCCGGUGGUCCUGGGCCCCCGGGUGGGCACCAUCUGCUUGCCCCAACCCCGCUACCCCUUCGCCUUCGGCACGCCCUGCUGGCUUACUGGGUGGGGCAACGUGGCCGAGAACGUGUCCCUCCCGGCGGGGUCCCCCCUUCAGAAGGUCUCCUUGGACCUCCUGAGCGCCCCCACCUGCAACUGCCUCUACUCCAACCUGCGGCGC